This 468-nucleotide ribosomal RNA is filed under the name uncultured bacterium. RNAcentral describes it as "partial 16S ribosomal RNA". It matches the Rfam family "Bacterial small subunit ribosomal RNA", at positions 28 to 507 of the family's 1533-position model. The record is from RNAcentral.
GACGAACGCUGGCGGCGUGCUUAACACAUGCAAGUCGAACGGAAAGGCCCUGCUUUUGUGGGGUGCUCGAGUGGCGAACGGGUGAGUAACACGUGAGUAACCUGCCCUUGACUUUGGGAUAACUUCAGGAAACUGGGGCUAAUACCGGAUAGGAGCUCCUGCUGCAUGGUGGGGGUUGGAAAGUUUCGGCGGUUGGGGAUGGACUCGCGGCUUAUCAGCUUGUUGGUGGGGUAGUGGCUUACCAACGCUUUGACGGGUAGCCGGCCUGAGAGGGUGACCGGCCACAUUGGGACUGAGAUACGGCCCAGACUCCUACGGGAGGCAGCAGUGGGGAAUAUUGCACAAUGGGCGGAAGCCUGAUGCAGCAACGCCGCGUGCGGGAUGACGGCCUUCGGGUUGUAAACCGCUUUCGCCUGUGACGAAGCGUGAGUGACGGUAAUGGGUAAAGAAGCACCGGCUAACUACGUG